This 497-nucleotide ribosomal RNA is filed under the name uncultured bacterium. Its description in RNAcentral is "partial 16S ribosomal RNA". It matches the Rfam family "Bacterial small subunit ribosomal RNA", at positions 28 to 507 of the family's 1533-position model. The record is from RNAcentral.
GAUGAACGCUGGCGGCGUGCCUAAUACAUGCAAGUCGAGCGAACAGACGAGGAGCUUGCUCCUCUGACGUUAGCGGCGGACGGGUGAGUAACACGUGGAUAACCUAUCUAUAAGACUGGGAUAACUUCGGGAAACCGGAGCUAAUACCGGAUAAUAUAUUGAACCGCAUGGUUCAAUAGUGAAAGACGGUUUUGCUGUCACUUAUAGAUGGAUCCGCGCCGCAUUAGCUAGUUGGUAAGGUAACGGCUUACCAAGGCAACGAUGCGUAGCCGACCUGAGAGGGUGAUCGGCCACACUGGAACUGAGACACGGUCCAGACUCCUACGGGAGGCAGCAGUAGGGAAUCUUCCGCAAAGGGCGAAAGCCUGACGGAGCAACGCCGCGUGAGUGAUGAAGGUCUUCGGAUCGUAAAACUCUGUUAUUAGGGAAGAACAAAUGUGUAAGUAACUAUGCACGUCUUGACGGUACCUAAUCAGAAAGCCACGGCUAACUACGUG